Long non-coding RNA from Equus caballus (horse), 2223 nucleotides. The record is from Ensembl. Lineage: Eukaryota; Metazoa; Chordata; Mammalia; Perissodactyla; Equidae.
GGCGGAGGAACAGGGUGGUGAAUCCUUAAUUAACAGGAUGCUCAGGGAAGCCAUGCAGGCUGCAUAAAGCUGUUGUGAAAGGCCGCAUUUAGGAUAGAUGCAGCAGCCUCUCAGCGAUAUCACUAACUUCAGGAGGCAGAAAGGCAGUUUCAGAGUUCUAGUCAGUGGUGAGAUGGGAGAUUAUUUCCUCUGGAAACCCUGAAUCUGUCUCUCUGAAAGCAUCUUCAUACUGUUAAAUGACUUGCUUAAUGGUAGGGCUCAGAGGUUCCAAAGCUCAGUUUCUGAAACUAAUUCAAAAUGUGCGCUCAAGAAACAAAAGGAAAGAAACAAUCACGAGCAAAAAUACAAAAGACGUAAUGAUUUCAACUAAUGUUAAAUUCCCUGAGGAACCAGGGAGCUUGUCAAUAUUUGGGGAAAGGUGAAAGAACAUAGAAUAUCCUUUUUUCCGAGCAAUAUUAUUGAAUUUAAUAAUUUAGUGGAAAUGUUCAUUUAAUUAUACAUUAAUGGGUAUGCAGUGAUAAUUUUUACAAAGUGCCAGGCGUGGUUGCUAGGCACAAGAGCUACUAAGAAGAAAGACACACCUCAGACACACCUCUGAAGUUAAAGAACAUUUAUUAGUCUUCUCGGAGUGAAUACCGAAACUUCCUGUGAUGAGACACAGACACCAGAAAGCUUUAAAAGAGUGAUUUAAGGAGGUAACCAGCACUUGCAGCCAACACUAUUAUGACUCCCUCAAGACGUGCACACACUGGAAUAAGCGUAAACAUUUACAAGGACAGGAAAAUUGAAUUCCUGAAAAUAUAUACCAAGCUGUAUUUUCACAAAUAAUCUUGUUUAUAGAUGCAUCAAUAUUCCUUGAGACUUGUUUGCAAUCACAGUUGUCCUGAGAGUUUUGAAGGCUUGUCAGAUGUUAAAGGAUUAGCCUUGGUCAGUAUAACUCUAGGAUAUUAACAUUCACUGGGCACCUACAUCUGAUCAGAAUCAUGCUAGGGGCUAGAGAAACAAAGAGAAACACAUCCCUUUUCCCCUAGGCCUCAGAGUCUAAAGGGGGAGAGAAGCAAGUAAACACUCCAUUACAGUAAGCCAUAUUGUAACUGGCAGGACAGACAUACACACAACCUGCUGUAGGAGCCAAAGGACGAGACUCCACAACCACGAGGUUGAGUAACCAGGAGACUGUCCGCAGCUCGUGUCUAAAUGCCUAGCUGAAAUCUAGAGAUGUCCAGCAGAGGAACGGAGGCAAGAAAACAGCUGACAGAAAUUGGACAUCAGUGUCACCUUACGUAGCAAGAGAGAAUGUUCCCUGGCCCAGGUGAAAAUAAUAAAAGGAAAAUACUGCCACAUGGAGUUGUCGAGCUGCAGCUAAUAUGAAGUAUCUAUAUAAAAAAAAGUCAUCUUUCCAAGUAUACCAUGAAUCUGGACUUCAAUUUCCCACUGAUUUCUUUCCUGCUGCUGACAAUGGUCACAUCACAAAAUCCUGUCUCAUCCACAAUAGGAGGGCUUAAGUUGCAUCACGUUGUCUUCAGAAACUGCAGAGCAUUUGUAGGAUCAACUAACGCAGAAAAAUUAAGUAGAAGUUCAAGGUUAGAUAAAGAACAGAGACUAAGAAUGAAGCCAACAGGAAAAGAAGUAAGAAGUAAAGAUGGGGAUGAAGUCCUGACCGCGCUGUUUGAGCCCCUGACCGAGCUGUACUUCAAACGAGACUAUCCCCUGGACUUUCAAGCAACUUGAGCCGAUAAAUUCCCCUUAUUUUUAAGCCAGGUAGAAUUGGUUUUCUUUCACAUGCAACAGAAAGAAUCCUAAGUGAUAUAUUUAGGAAGUGAGAGGAACUAAACCUGCUAGUUGAAGGCAUCGUCUCUACAGCCAACAAAAGCUCAAGUAGUCAAAUCUGAUAGAUUCACAGCGUGGUCAACGGCGCUCUUCAAUGUCUUUGACUGGAUCUUUCUGUAUUCUUACUUGUGUUCACAAUCAGCCCACAUCUGAUUUUGAUAGAGUCAUUUUUUCUAAAUAUCCCCAAAUAAUCUUUCCCAAUAGAAGGAAUAAAAUAUCUUGAGUUUUAUACACGUGAAUCCCAUAUCUCCAUCUAUUUUUAAGCAUGUCCCUAAGACUCAAAACUCAAAAUUGUUAUUUUAUGAGGAGUCUUAAACAAAAACAAAAACAAAACCUCAAGGGUUUAAUCUGGAAUACUAAUUGGGUUGAAAAUAAACACAAAAAUUCAGCGGC